RNAcentral lists this unclassified non-coding RNA (625 nucleotides) under Hevea brasiliensis (rubber tree). The record is from RNAcentral. Lineage: Eukaryota; Viridiplantae; Streptophyta; Magnoliopsida; Malpighiales; Euphorbiaceae.
ACCGCUAUUCCUCCAGAAAAAAGUCAUUCUCCGGACCUACGUCUCUCUUUUUUUUAUCGUCUAACGGACGUCUCUCUCUGUGCGAGGAAAAAUGUCUGCGAAUCAUCAACACCUGCUACGCCUAGUCCUCUCGUGCCGGAAAAUCACGGCGCAGGUCACAAACCCCACAACCUCCACCAUCAUAGCCAUAGCCUCCUCCACGGAGCAAGAGUUCCUCGCCCAGUAUCGCACCAGACUCAACCGCUUCCCGCGAUCCCACCACAACUGGGAUGCCAAAAUGGCAUCGCGUGUCGGCGAGAAGCUAGGGUUCCGCCUCCAGCACCAGCAUCAAUAUCGACCUCGACGAAGAACUUUCUCGCCCUAUUCAUUACAGGAAGAGGGUCUUGCCCCUGUUCGAUUCGGUGAAACGCGUUGGCGUGGCCGUCGAUGGGGCGGAGAAAUUAGGAGAGGUUAGCCCCCGGUAGAUUACGCUUGGAAGGUGAUCACUGAAUAGGAAAAGUCCUCUGUUUUGAUACUCCUAGUCCCUCAUCCUGUCAAAGCAAGAAGAAUCAUCAAUCAUUGCGCUCCUUGUGGCAACAUCACCACCCUUUUCAAUUAGAAAACAAUCGCAGCAACUGUGGCCACC